This 440-nucleotide ribosomal RNA is filed under the name uncultured bacterium. RNAcentral describes it as "partial 16S ribosomal RNA". It matches the Rfam family "Bacterial small subunit ribosomal RNA", at positions 338 to 795 of the family's 1533-position model. The record is from RNAcentral.
CCUACGGGUGGCAGCCGUAGGGAAUAUUGCUCAAUGGGGGAAACCCUGACGCAGCAACGCCGCGUGGAGGAUGAAGGUUUUCGGAUUGUAAACUCCUUUUGUUAGAGAAGAUAAUGACGGUAUCUAACGAAUAAGCCCCGGCUAACUCCGUGCCAGCAGCCGCGGUAAUACGGAGGGUGCAAGCGUUACUCGGAAUCACUGGGCGUAAAGAGCGCGUAGGCGGGAUAGCAAGUCAGAUGUGAAAUCCUAUGGCUUAACCAUAGAACUGCAUUUGAAACUGUUAGUCUAGAGUAUGGGAGAGGUAGGUGGAAUUCUUGGUGUAGGAGUAAAAUGCGUAGAGAUCAAGAGGAAUACUCAUUGCGAAGGCGACCUGCUAGAACAUAACUGACGCUGAUGCGCGAAAGCGUGGGGAGCAAACAGGAUUAGAUACCCGUGUAGUC